AACUCCUCUGCCACCUGUAAUCUUGAAUUGCCUUCCGGUUGAUGCACACAGAAUCUUUUGCCUUCUGCUGGCAUCCUCCAACGUGGACAACUAGUCUGCUAAAGUAAAAAGGGCCUCAGGAUAUAGCAUAACAGGCUCUUAGUAGUUAGUAUGCACAAUUUAGAAGGAAGACAUUAUGUACUUAUGAAAGUUCAAAAGACCAUAUUUGGCGGGAUGAUCAUCAGGUUUAAGAGAAGCAAGAAAGUGUAGGUCCAGGACACGCAGUUGAUGUAAUGGUCUCAUUUUUUGUACUAUUGUAUGGUAAACUUGGAGACCUCUGUUGUAUGAAUAGUGUGGUUAUAAAUUAUAAUUAGACUUUGAUGAUU
Molecule: long non-coding RNA, 365 nt
Organism: Alnus glutinosa
Lineage: Eukaryota; Viridiplantae; Streptophyta; Magnoliopsida; Fagales; Betulaceae
Exons: 2
Source: RefSeq, a predicted model, not a curated record